AGUUGAUCAUGGCUCAGGACGAACGCUGGCGGCGUGCUUAACACAUGCAAGUCGAACGGUAAGGCCCUUCGGGGUACACGAGUGGCGAACGGGUGAGUAACACGUGGGUGAUCUGCCCUGCACUUCGGGAUAAGCUUGGGAAACUGGGUCUAAUACCGGAUAGGACCACGGUCUGCAUGGAUUGUGGUGGAAAGCUUUUGCGGUGUGGGAUGGGCCCGCGGCCUAUCAGCUUGUUGGUGGGGUGAUGGCCUACCAAGGCGACGACGGGUAGCCGGCCUGAGAGGGUGUCCGGCCACACUGGGACUGAGAUACGGCCCAGACUCCUACGGGAGGCAGCAGUGGGGAAUAUUGCACAAUGGGCGCAAGCUUGAUGCAGCGACGCCGCGUGGGGAUGACGGCCUUCGGGUUGUAAACCUCUUUCAGUAGGGACGAAGCGUAAGUGACGGUACCUAUAGAAGAAGCACCGGCCAACUACGUG
RNAcentral lists this ribosomal RNA (478 nucleotides) under uncultured bacterium. RNAcentral describes it as "bacterial SSU rRNA". It matches the Rfam family "Bacterial small subunit ribosomal RNA", at positions 10 to 507 of the family's 1533-position model. The record is from RNAcentral.